UACGGAGGGUGCAAGCAUUAAUCGGAUUUAUUGGGCGUAAAGGGCGCGUAGGCGGAUUUGUAAGUCAGGUGUGAAAUUCCGAAGCUCAACUUCGGAGCUGCAUUUGAAACUGCGAGUCUAAGAGGGAUGGCGGAGAAAAUGGAAUUCCACGUGUAGCGGUGAAAUGCGUAGAUAUGUGGAAGAACACCGGUGGCGAAAGCGAUUUUCUAGCUAUUACCUGACGCUGAGGCGCGAGAGCAAGGGGAGCAAACAGG
Molecule: ribosomal RNA, 254 nt
Filed under: uncultured bacterium
Lineage: Bacteria
Description: partial 16S ribosomal RNA
Rfam family: Bacterial small subunit ribosomal RNA
Source: RNAcentral